AGAGUUUGAUCAUGGCUCAGAUUGAACGCUGGCGGCAUGCUUUACACAUGCAAGUCGAACGGUAACGCGGGGGCAACCCUGGCGACGAGUGGCGAACGGGUGAGUAAUACAUCGGAACGUGUCCUGAGGUGGGGGAUAACCUAUCGAAAGGUAGGCUAAUACCGCAUACGCUCGGGAGAGGAAAGCGGGGGAUCGGUAACGACCUCGCGCUGCAGGAGCGGCCGAUGUCCGAUUAGCUAGUUGGUGGGGUAAAGGCUUACCAAGGCGACGAUCGGUAGCUGGUCUGAGAGGAUGAUCAGCCACACUGGGACUGAGACACGGCCCAGACUCCUACGGGAGGCAGCAGUGGGGAAUUUUGGACAAUGGGGGCAACCCUGAUCCAGCCAUGCCGCGUGAGUGAAGAAGGCCUUCGGGUUGUAAAGCUCUUUCGGUGGGAACGAAACGGUUACCACUAACACUGGUGACUACUGACGGUACUCACAGAAGAAGCACCGGCUAACUACGUGCCAGCAGCCGCGGUAAUACGUAGGGUGCGAGCGUUAAUCGGAAUUACUGGGCGUAAAGCGUGCGCAGGCGGUGGCUCAAGCCAGGCGUGAAAUCCCCGGGCUUAACCUGGGAAUGGCGUUUGGGACUGGGUCGCUAGAGUGUGGCAGAGGGAGGUGGAAUUCCACGUGUAGCAGUGAAAUGCGUAGAGAUGUGGAGGAACACCGAUGGCGAAGGCAGCCUCCUGGGCCAGCACUGACGCUCAUGCACGAAAGCGUGGGGAGCAAACAGGAUUAGAUACCCUAGUAGUCC
RNAcentral lists this ribosomal RNA (795 nucleotides) under uncultured bacterium. RNAcentral's name for it is "bacterial SSU rRNA". It matches the Rfam family "Bacterial small subunit ribosomal RNA", at positions 8 to 796 of the family's 1533-position model. The record is from RNAcentral.